CAGAGUAAGACGGCGCGCGUGGAUUUUUCCGACAGUGCUUUGUGAACGGGGAGUUGUCACAGGGACGAAUGGCUUCGGUCGGCGGUGCGUAGUCUGCAUCCCGCUGU
This 107-nucleotide non-coding RNA is filed under the name human gut metagenome. Its description in RNAcentral is "THF riboswitch". It matches the Rfam family "THF (Tetrahydrofolate) riboswitch aptamer". Rfam says of the family: THF riboswitch presents a pseudoknot that joins P1-P2 and the loop of P3 and two THF binding. The record is from RNAcentral.